CGCUUUUUUUGCCCAGGCGGAGCUCGACCGCCGAUUGAAGUAAUCCGACGGUUUAUUGACGAGCAUCGGGAAACUUACGGGGUCGAGCCACUUUGCAAGGUCUUGCAGAUUGCCCCG
Pusillimonas sp. T7-7 is the source of this 117-nucleotide non-coding RNA. The record is from Rfam. Lineage: Bacteria; Pseudomonadati; Pseudomonadota; Betaproteobacteria; Burkholderiales; Alcaligenaceae.